GACGAACGCUGGCGGCGUGCUUAACACAUGCAAGUCGAACGGAAAGGCCCUGCUUUUGUGGGGUGCUCGAGUGGCGAACGGGUGAGUAACACGUGAGUAACCUGCCCUUGACUUUGGGAUAACUUCAGGAAACUGGGGCUAAUACCGGAUAGGAGCUCCUGCUGCAUGGUGGGGGUUGGAAAGUUUCGGCGGUUGGGGAUGGACUCGCGGCUUAUCAGCUUGUUGGUGGGGUAGUGGCUUACCAAGGCUUUGACGGGUAGCCGGCCUGAGAGGGUGACCGGCCACAUUGGGACUGAGAUGCGGCCCAGACGGCUACGGGAGGCAGCAGUGGGGAAUAUUGCACAAGGGGCGGAAGCCUGAUGCAGCAACGCCGCGGGCGGGUUGACGGCCUUCGGGUUGUAAACCGCUUUCGCCUGUGACGAAGCGUGAGUGACGGUAAUGGGUAAAGAAGCACCGGCUAACUACGUG
This 468-nucleotide ribosomal RNA is filed under the name uncultured bacterium. RNAcentral's name for it is "partial 16S ribosomal RNA". It matches the Rfam family "Bacterial small subunit ribosomal RNA", at positions 28 to 507 of the family's 1533-position model. The record is from RNAcentral.